This 178-nucleotide non-coding RNA is filed under the name Cognatiyoonia sediminum. RNAcentral describes it as "Loktanella sediminum Ruegeria cis52 sRNA". It matches the Rfam family "Ruegeria cis52 sRNA". From Rfam's summary of the family: Cis-encoded. Targets oligo/dipeptide ABC transporter. Functions in transport. Lineage: Bacteria; Pseudomonadati; Pseudomonadota; Alphaproteobacteria; Rhodobacterales; Paracoccaceae. The record is from Rfam by way of RNAcentral.
GCGCAACGCGUGCUUGAUCACAAUUGUUCGGAACUUCACACCUUUGAGGCGUGCCGUUCGGAUGUACUGCGCUGUCAUAACUUCCGUCAUCGAUGCGCGGGUCAUACGCGCGAUAUAACCCAUGCCAUAGAGGGCGAUUGUUAUCACGGGCAGGAAGAAGUUUUGGAAAUUUGCAUCA